AUGGGGAGGAUGGGGAGAAAGGAGAGGUUGCUUGGAAAGGAGUCUUCAUCGCUGUGUCCUAAUGAACCAUUAGGGAGAAUGAGGUCAACCAAAUCGAUCUGACCCCCCUCCAGAGGUAUGCUGACACUGUGGAUGCAUCACAGAGAUCCUCCUAACUUACUGUUUACCAGCGAGGGCAAGGGAAGACCUGAAGCUGAAUGGUAGAUAGUAUGCUAUCGAAAUAUAUGUUCAGUGAACAUAUCUUUAUAAAAGUGCAGACUUUUAAAAAAAAAUGACAAACAGCCCACCAGUUACAUAACUAACCACCGUCCAAAACGACCCCCGACUCAUCCCAGUUAACCUCUCACAAUCCUUAUAAUCUCCUUUCAUGCAGUCCGAGCUUUAAGGCAAGAUGGAAGAUGGUAGAAAGAACAACGUCGCAGCUUCACUGAUUCAAAUGGGCGAUCUAAUGAGGCCACUUGCUCUGAGUAUUUUGCCAAACCAGAAGUCAAAUAGGUUAUAUGUGUAACCUGUACAGUGUGUAACCUGUACAGUGUGUGGAGUGAAAAGGAAAUGUGUUUUUUGCGUAUCCUACUCCCCCCUGAUACCCUCUCGGAGAGUGGGGUCACAGCCAGGGCCUGCCAUUAUUGACUGGGACCCUGGAGCAAUUAAGUUGAAAGUUUUUAAUGUCCCAUACACAAGUACAGUGAAAUGUCUUUCUUGCAAGCUCUAAACCCAACAAUGUAGUAAUCAAUAUUACACCUACUGGCCCAACGCUCUAACUACUAGUCUACCUGGCAUCACAACGAGACCAAGUGUGUAUAACUCGAUUAUUAUAAAUCCCUUUCGGGUGAGAUCCUAAUCUCACGCUUCAGUUUCUCAACCUUGACAGAAUACAGACAAGAGGUUCCCUGUAGUGUUCAACACAACGUCACGUCAAUAAUCCAGUCCUCUCUGUACAUAAGUUAUCCUCAUUAAGGUUAUUUUUGUAAGGUAUCAAUCUGCUGUGUAUCAACUAGAGUAUUCAGGGCUCGAACCACCCAGUGUAUAAUCAACUAGAGUAUUCAGGGCUCGAACCACCCAGUGUAUAAUCAACUAGAGCAUUCAGGACUCGAACCACCCAGUGUAUAAUCAACUAGAGCAUUCAGGGCUCGAACCACCCAGUGUAUAAUCAACUAGAGCAUUCAGGGCUCGAACCACCCAAUGUAUAAUCAACUAGAGCAUUCAGGGCUCGAACCACCCAGUGUAUAAUCAACUAGAGCAUUCAGGGCUCGAACCACCCAGUGUAUAAUCAACUAGAGCAUUCAGGGCUCGAACCACCCAGUGUAUAAUCAACUAGAGCAUUCAGGGCUCCAACCACCCAAUGUAUAAUCAACUAGAGCAUUCAGGGCUCGAACCACCCAGUGUAUAAUCAACUAGAGCAUUCAGGGCUCGAACCACCCAGUGUAUAAUCAACUAGAGUAUUCAGGACUCGAACCACCCAGUGUAUAAUCAACUAGAGCAUUCAGGACUCGAACCACCCAGUGUAUAAUCAACUAGAGCAUUCAGGGCUCGAACCACCCAGUGUAUAAUCAACUAGAGCAUUCAGGGCUCGAACCACCCAGUGUAUAAUCAACUAGACCAUUCAGGACUCGAACCACCCAGUGUAUAUUCAACUAGAGCAUUCAGGGCUCGAACCACCCAGUGUAUAUUCAACUAGAGCAUUCAGGGCUCGAACCACCCAGUGUAUAAUCAACUAGAGCAUUCAGGGCUCGAACCACCCAAUGUAUAAUCAACUAGAGUAUUCAGGGCUCGAACCACCCAGUGUAUAAUCAACUAGAGCAUUCAGGGCUCGAACCACCCAGUGUAUAAUCAACUAGAGCAUUCAGGACUCGAACCACCCAGUGUAUAAUCAACUAUGCCCAGCCACUUGUGUUGUUGUUUUCUUUUGGGCAGCUGUGGAGGUGAAUGAAAUGAUACUGGGUCAGAUACACAAAGGUUUUGUCAAAGCAUUAAAUGUGAGAACAUGAAGAAUGAACACAGACAAACAGGCUAAGGAUACAAGCAUUCCAUUAAACAACUAAAUUCA
Molecule: long non-coding RNA, 2047 nt
Organism: Salvelinus fontinalis (brook trout)
Lineage: Eukaryota; Metazoa; Chordata; Actinopteri; Salmoniformes; Salmonidae
Exons: 2
Source: RefSeq, a predicted model, not a curated record